CAGUUUCUCGGCGCCAUUUUGUCUGGGCAGCGGUGGACGCAGGUCUACCGCAUUUUAUGUUUCUGGCGAGACGAGAGCGGAAUCUUCAUCCCGUGGAUUCAUUUAACUGCGGCAACCAUCCACCGUUCCCUCCAGGACAGCACCUAGUGAAGAUCGGAAGAGUAGCAAUCUGUCAGAAAGUUGGUCUGAAGAAAACAGGACAGUUAAGUGACAAACAUCUGGAAGUAUUACUGAGAGGAAGCCUCGCUUUGUGGAAAAAUGAAGGAAAGUGUUCCAGUUUUUAAAUGACUUGGAUCUGCUCUCUGUUGAAAUUGUAUUUCUGCUCCCUGGCUCUUUGUCCACCCUCAUGUUGGAAAUGGUGAGAGAACUGAUGCUGAAUCAUAAGUAUGAUCCAUUUUAGACAUCUAAAUUUUUGCAUUGAAUCUUUACUAUCACUUGGUUGCUGCUGACUCCUAAACCAGUCGGUCUACUAAAGGUUCCUUUGAGAAUGACAGAAAUGAAAGCAAAUGGAUAGUCUUAUCAGAUAAGUGCUUUUUUAUCUGAAUGUAUUUGGUUUUUUCCAUAAGAUGGCUUUAGUAGCACUUAGUUGUCUUUAACUUCAUUCGAAACAAUUUUGUUAGACUGUAUUGUGACAGCUGUCAUAUCAGCGUGCAUUUUAAAAAAAAACAUCAAAAUUGGUGAAUUUCUGUGUAGCCAUUUUAAUAUUGAAGAUGGAAGGAAAAAAAGCAACAACAUAUUAUGCUUUAUUAUUUCAAGAAAGGUAAAAACACAACUGAAAGGCAAAAAAAGAUUUGUGCAGUGUAUGGAAAAGGUGCUGUGACUGAACGUGUCAAAAGUGGUUUGCAAAGUUUUGUGGUAGAGAUUUCUGGCUGGGCGAUGCUCCAUGGUCGGGGAGACCAGUUCAAGUUGAUAGCAGUCAAAUCGAGACAUAAAUUUCAAAACAGUCAACAUUAUACCACGCAGGAGAUAAGCCGACACACUCAAAAUCUCCAAAUCAGGUGUUGAAAAUCAUUUGCACCAGCUUGGUUAUGUUAAUCGCUUUGAUGUUUGGGUUCCACGUAAGUUAAGCGAAAGAAACCUUCUUGACCAUAUUUCCGCAUUGCGAUUCUCUACUUAAACAUAACGAAAACAUUCCGUUUUUUAAAACAAAUUGUGACGGGCAGUGAAAAUUGGAUACUGUACAAUAAUGUGGAAUAGAAGAGAUGUUACAGAAGAACCCGAACGAACAUUUUUGGCCAACCCAAUAUUAUUUGUAAUGUCUAAACCAAAAUUCUAUUCUUUAAAACGUUUGUAAUUUUUUUUCCUAGGUACCAGUAUCGAGGUUUACAGUAAUAAGGUAUUAAGUCUUUGCUGAAAAUAAAUUUGUAAUCUUGUCAAAGUAAAA
This is a long non-coding RNA of Balaenoptera musculus (blue whale), 1384 nucleotides long. RefSeq lists it as uncharacterized. The record is from RefSeq and is a predicted model, not a curated record. Lineage: Eukaryota; Metazoa; Chordata; Mammalia; Artiodactyla; Balaenopteridae. The transcript is spliced from 6 exons.